Molecule: ribosomal RNA, 967 nt
Filed under: uncultured bacterium
Lineage: Bacteria
Description: bacterial SSU rRNA
Rfam family: Bacterial small subunit ribosomal RNA
Source: RNAcentral
GGGGGCGUGUUUGGGAUUUACUGGGUGUAAGGGUUCGUAGGCGGUGUGGCAAGUUGGGAGUGAAAUCUCUGGGCUUAACCCAGAGGCUGCUUCCAAAACUGCUGUGCUUGAGUGUAAGAGAGGCGCGUGGAAUUGCAGGUGUAGCGGUGAAAUGCGUAGAUAUCUGCAGGAACACCCGUGGCGAAAGCGGCGCGCUGGAUCACUACUGACGCUGAGGAACGAAAGCUAGGGGAGCAAACAGGAUUAGAUACCCUGGUAGUCCUAGCCCUAAACGAUCAGGACUUGGGGUGCCGCCCGUUCGGGCGUCGUCCCGGAGCUAACGCGUUAAGUCCUGCACCUGGGGAGUACGGUCGCAAGACUGAAACUCAAAGGAAUUGACGGGGGCCCGCACAAGCGGUGGAACAUGUGGUUCAAUUCGACGCUACGCGAGGAACCUUACCUGGGCUCGACAUCCCGCGAAUCCCUCCGAAAGGUGGGAGUGCCCGCAAGGAAGCGCGGAGACAGGUGGUGCAUGGCUGUCGUCAGCUCGUGUCGUGAGAUGUUGGGUUAAGUCCCGCAACGAGCGCAACCCUCACUCCUUGUUGCCACCAGGUAAUGCUGGGAACUCUAGGGGAACUGCCCCGGUCAACGGGGAGGAAGGUGGGGAUGACGUCAAGUCCGCAUGGCCUUUAUGUCCAGGGCUACACACGUGUUACAAUGCAGGGCACAAACCGUUGCCAACCCGCGAGGGGGAGCUAAUCGGAUAAAACUCUGCUCAGUUCGGAUUGCAGUCUGCAACUCGACUGCAUGAAGCCGGAAUCGCUAGUAAUGGCGUAUCAGAUCGACGCCGUGAAUACGUUCCCGGGCCUUGUACACACCGCCCGUCACAUCACGAAAGUGAGCUGUACUAGAAGUCGCCGAGCUAACCGCAAGGAGGCAGGCGCCCAAGGUAUGACUCAUGAUUGGGGUGAAGUCGUAACAAGGUAAC